CCCGGCCUAUCAGCUUGUUGGAGAGGUAACGGCUCACCAAGGCAUCGACGGGUAGCUGGUCUGAGAGGAUGAUCAGCCACACUGGGACUGAGACACGGCCCGACUCCUACGGGAGGCAGCAGUGGGGAAUCUUGCACAAUGGGCGAAAGCCUGAUGCAGCAACGCCGCGUGCGGGAUGAAGGCCCUAGGGUUGUAAACCGCUUUCAGUAGGGAAGAAAAUGACGGUACCUACAGAAGAAGGUGCGGCCAAUUACGUGCCAGCAGCCGCGGUGACACGUAGGCACCAAGCGUUAUCCGGAUUUAUUGGGCGUAAAGAGCUCGUAGGCGGUUUGGUAAGUCGGGUGUGAAAACUCUGGGCUCAACCCAGAGAGGCCACCCGAUACUGCUAUGACUAGAGUACGGUAGGGGAGCGGGGAAUUCAUGGUGUAGCGGUGAAAUGCGCAGAUAUCAUGAGGAACACCAGCGGCGAAGGCGCCGCUCUGGGCCGUAACUGACGCUGAGGAGCGAAAGCAUGGGUAGCAAACAGGAUUAGAUACCCUGGUAGUCCAUGCCGUAAACGUUGGGCACUAGGUGUGGGUCUCAACCAACGAGAUCCGCGCCGUCGCUAACGCAUUAAGUGCCCCGCCUGGGGAGUACGG
This 638-nucleotide ribosomal RNA is filed under the name uncultured actinomycete. RNAcentral describes it as "bacterial SSU rRNA". It matches the Rfam family "Bacterial small subunit ribosomal RNA", at positions 232 to 885 of the family's 1533-position model. The record is from RNAcentral. Lineage: Bacteria; Bacillati; Actinomycetota; Actinomycetes; Actinomycetales.